GUAGGGUGCAAGCGUUAAUCGGAAUUACUGGGCGUAAAGCGUGCGCAGGCGGUUAUGUAAGACAGUUGUGAAAUCCCCGGGCUCAACCUGGGAACUGCAUCUGUGACUGCAUAGCUCGAGUACGGUAGAGGGGGAUGGAAUUCCGCGUGUAGCAGUGAAAUGCGUAGAUAUGCGGAGGAACACCGAUGGCGAAGGCAAUCCCCUGGACCUGUACUGACGCUCAUGCACGAAAGCGUGGGGAGCAAACAGGAUUAGAUACCCUGGUAGUCCACGCCCUAAACGAUGUCAACUGGUUGUUGGGUCUUCACUGACUCAGUAACGAAGCUAACGCGUGAAGUUGACCGCCUGGGGAGUACGGCCGCAAGGUUG
This 369-nucleotide ribosomal RNA is filed under the name uncultured Variovorax sp. Its description in RNAcentral is "bacterial SSU rRNA". It matches the Rfam family "Bacterial small subunit ribosomal RNA", at positions 527 to 896 of the family's 1533-position model. The record is from RNAcentral. Lineage: Bacteria; Pseudomonadati; Pseudomonadota; Betaproteobacteria; Burkholderiales; Comamonadaceae.